AAAACUACUAAGAAAAUUUGGGCUCUGUGCUGCAGUGAUGUCAUCUGGGAGCUGUAUUGUUCACCUAUUUUGUUCUGUGUGCUGUGAUUCAUUUCAUAAUAUGUACUGACCCUGAGAAAACCCUGCUAAAAUCUCACAGGCACCUAUCUCCACUUAAUCUCUCAGAAGCACAGCCACCAAAACAAUCAGAGUUCCAAUAUGGCCAUGCUCUUGAAAGGGAAGCACCUAAUACACAGCUCAUUUAUCAAGGCAAAAGUGUUUAACUAUGACCCUAAGCACAUGCUGCUGCUUGUUAGUUUAACUGAAGCUACACAAACAUGAUAAAAGUUAUAGGUAUAAUCCCCUGAAGAUGGAGAUGGGUUUCUCCUGUUGUUCAAGUGCUAACCUAGGACUCAGAAGAGAAGGAUUCAGUGUCCUGCUGUGCAACAGACUUCUGGAGCAAGCAGUGUGGUAUUUCAUUUUACCAUCUCUGACAAAGGCAUAAUUUCAUCUGUGUUCUGGGGUUUUUAUUCAGGUAAACAAAUGCAAAUGCUAAUGUUUUAAAGAAGAUAACAUUUAAGGUAGAGUUAUGUAAGAAUUUAUCGAGAUGCCUCUAUAUUUAAUAAUUUUAGCUAAAGACUGUAGCCUUUAUUCAGGCCUGAGUUUACAGUUUUCACUAUAUUAGGAAUUUUCCUUGACUAUGUAUGAAAAAAACCUAUUACUCUGGAACUUAACAAGAUACAAUUAUUCCUCUGUUAUGGUAUAGGAGGAAGUUCAGUUCCAAGGCCAGUAGCAAAAAAAUGUAUUAUUUAAAAAGGAAAGAAAAUACAGCCUGCUGGGCAUUCAUUUGCUUAGAGGAGUUCUUUGUAUUUACAGUUCUAGAAAAAAUAUUUCCUUGUAAAACAUUCAGUAAAUACUUAAAAGCAUACAACGUUCCUGCUUACUGGAGGGAGGCAACAAAGAGAAUACUCAAAGGAGAACUGAAACCAGAAAUAAUAAUGUAUAAUGGGGAAAAUUCCUGCCACUGUAGUUCAAGAAAGAAUAGUCGCCUUCAAAAGAUAAUUAAGAACUUUGGGGGACUGAAAUCACCUUCAAGGGACACUCUAGGACAUUUGGUUUCUCAAUUGGUGUAUCUCAGUUAGGUAUGUAAAAUUAAGUCAUUAUUAUUUUGCCCAUUUCCCUCCCACCUUUGUUUUAUUCUACUAUUGUUUGAAAAAAUUUAUCCAGUGUAAUAUAAAUGCAUUAGCUAUGACUCUCUUUUAUCUCCAAAAUCCUCAUGCUCUCCUCCUCCAAAUUUGUUGCUAACAGUUCCACUAAUGAGUCACCUUGAAAUCAUUUCACAAAUGUACUCUGAAAUGCCCAGCGUACUCAAGAGCAGGAGAAUUAUAUGCAUUUUAUGGCACUGUAGGAAGUUUUUAAAGGAUUUGAAUUAUUUCUUACUUGUGUCUUUUCUUCCCUUAAUGAGAAAAAGUAAGAAAAAACCAAACAAAACAACCGUACUCUUUCCCACAUUCUCCCUUUCAAUUUCUCCUCAGCAAGACUACAAUUCUCCAGAGCUGAUUUUCCUAAUAGAGUCCUCCCUGACUAUGUUGGACAAAUGUCAUGUCCCUUGGCUCUCUCCAUCUUGUAAUGAAAAUAGACCUAUUGCCAGCUACACCUUGCUGAUUGCUUCCUACCUGCUGCUAAGGAUAAUUUGUGCAGUGUAAAUGAAGACUUCAGUAGUUGCUGUAGGGGAAAAAAAGCUACAAAAAGGGACUGCUAUUCAGCACUCACAUAAAAUAGCCAAUAAAGAAACAGUUCUGGUUAGCUGAAAAUGCAUAAAGUGUAUAAAGUAUUAAAAGUUUUCAGAGUCUUAAUUAUACCAGACAUCAUAUAGAAGUAUUUUGCCCUGGAAAAUGAAUCACAUAUAUUUGCAUCUUUUCAUUUGCCUGAUCCUAUAUCAAGAAUUUUUGUGUAUUUGUUUUCUUCAUUGUCCUGUCAAAUAUUUCCUACUGGAUUGCUUCCUAUUGUUUGGAAGUAAGCAAUAAAAGGAAUUCACCAAUACUCCCCUUCAGAAUAUUGUGACCAUUAGGAAUGUAGAUGUUAGUGUUUGCUAUUUUCCCCCAUAUAUUCUUUCAGAUAACCUCUUACCUCUGAAAGAAUGAAAGAGACAGAAAGAAGCAUUACAUGUGGAUUACAGAAAAUGAUAAGAAAAUAUGAUUCCAAGUAGUGAUUUUCCUCCAGACCUUGGAGGUGAGCUCUGCCAGGUACCAUGGAGCUGCGUCAAUGUUCCGUACUGCUCUGCUGAGGUAAAUGGAAGUUUCCCAGAGUCUAGCAGUGCAGGAAUUAGACUCUCCAUCACGAGCAACUCUGCCAAUCAAUAAGGAAAGUGUCUAAAUUAAUGGCAACAUAAAAUGUUUAAAAAAAGCCCAAACAGUGUCAGGUAUCUGCUUCCCCGCAGUGCAGGGAACAUGACAGUGAGGAAGUCUUUUGGAUAAGCUGAAAAACUAUUUUACUCUGAGACUACUCCUGUGCGUUUAUGUCAUAUUUCUUUGUCACUCAACAACAUAUACUUGAAUUUAAAACUAAGGUGGUGUUCAAAAGCUCAUAUCAGAAUAAAAUUAAGGCUAAAAAAUAAACCUCAAGAAAUUGUAAAAAAUUAACAGCCAGCUAGGCCAUUCCUUGAUAAGAAUGUACUAUGGUGCUGUUGUAAAAAGAAUCCAAAAGCACAUGUAUGGUUAUUUAGUGCUAGUGUCAUUAAUGAUUUCCACACUGCAAAUGUUCCUUUUGCUCUUUUAGCAAAAGAGUGGUAGGAGAAGCAAGACAGAAGUGAGCAUUCACACAUAGCACUACAAAUAAAUAUCUCCCAUCCCUACAGACUCUCACAUUAGUUUUUUUCUUAUCUGCCAUUUAACAUUGUGAGAGUUCCUUUUAAGUCAAUAAUGCAUUUUGGGAUGUGAAUUCAUACAAAAUGGAAAAUGAAAACAAUAGAAGUUUCAGAAUUAAAGGUCUGUUUCUUGGGCUGUAAAUCUUUUGACUUCAUAGUUUAGAAUAAUGUGAUAGAUGACAUGAAAUUUUUAUUAGAUAAUAUAUAAUACAGAACAAAUAAUUAAUAGACAAAAUUUUAUUACAAGUUCUGCUUCCUGAGCUUCUCAAUUGGUUGGGUCUUCUAAUGGUUCCAGUUGGUUUUUGUAGACUCUGACUAUUUUAAGUUAGUGGAUUUCUUGUCUCUUUGAAGGUUAAGAAAUUACAAAGCAGUAAAAGCAUGGCUGUGUUUUGAUUUAUUUUUUUUAAUAUUGAAACAGAAAAACAAGAGAAAGAAGGGAGUUGCUUUCUUAUGAAUAUUUUCUCAAGAUCUUAAUGUCAUAAAAGGAACAUCUGAUCUUGGGAAACAAGAGGUGAUUAGAAAAAAAAGUCAGUAAUUGAAUGUAGAGAUUCCAUAUAUCCCUUGACACCCA
Molecule: non-coding RNA, 3416 nt
Organism: Sturnus vulgaris (Common starling)
Lineage: Eukaryota; Metazoa; Chordata; Aves; Passeriformes; Sturnidae
Source: RefSeq, a predicted model, not a curated record